AAAAGGAGGAAGGAUGGACAUAUGAUAAAUGGACAAGAAAGCUGCUGGAGGUGUAUGGCAGCCAUGGAAGGAUUGCAAAAAAAAGUGAUAGUGAUGCAGACCAAGAUUGGAGGUCGUUUACCUGAAGUGGAGAAGCAACAUCAGCAGUUUGGUUUUUCACAGUGUCGAGAAGAUAAGGUCAGCCCACGUUAAGCAAACACCUGUCUUCACACUCAAGAAAAGGGUCAAGAAGCUGCUGACCCAUCUUGA
Xiphophorus maculatus (southern platyfish) is the source of this 249-nucleotide long non-coding RNA. RefSeq lists it as uncharacterized. Lineage: Eukaryota; Metazoa; Chordata; Actinopteri; Cyprinodontiformes; Poeciliidae. The record is from RefSeq and is a predicted model, not a curated record. The transcript is spliced from 3 exons.